GACGAACGCUGGCGGCGGGCUUAACACAUGCAAGUCGAACGGAAAGGCCCUGCUUUUGUGGGGUGCUCGAGUGGCGAACGGGUGAGUAACACGUGAGAAACCUGCCCUUGACUUUGGGAUAACUUCAGGAAACUGGGGCUAAUACCGGAUAGGAGCUCCUGCUGCAUGGUGGGGGUUGGAAAGUUUCGGCGGUUGGGGAUGGACUCGCGGCUUAUCAGCUUGUUGGUGGGGUAGUGGCUUACCAAGGCUUUGACGGGUAGCCGGCCUGAGAGGGUGACCGGACACAUUGGGACUGAGAUACGGCCCAGACUACUACGGGAGGCAGCAGUGGGGAAUAUUGCACAAUGGGCGGAAGCCUGAUGCAGCAACGCCGCGUGCGGGAUGACGGCCUUCGGGUUGUAAACCGAUUUCGUCUGUGACGAAGCGUGAGUGACGGUAAUGGGUAAAGAAGCACCGGCUAACUACGUG
RNAcentral lists this ribosomal RNA (468 nucleotides) under uncultured bacterium. Its description in RNAcentral is "partial 16S ribosomal RNA". It matches the Rfam family "Bacterial small subunit ribosomal RNA", at positions 28 to 507 of the family's 1533-position model. The record is from RNAcentral.